UGUUGGACGCAACAUGGGAGUGACUGAAUAAACUUACUGGCAACCGCUAGUUAAGGUGAUGAGACACAGGUGGUGCUGCUACCGCAGGGUAGAACCGACCUACCAGUCGGGUCUCAGGCAACAACGUUUUUACUGCUGUAGUAAUGCCCGUUGUUUGUUGGUAUACAGGAUUCCAACCUCCCUCUUA
Molecule: non-coding RNA, 187 nt
Filed under: unclassified sequences
Description: manA RNA
Rfam family: manA RNA
About the family: manA RNA has been located in 5'UTR regions of genes of mannose or fructose metabolism. Has been proposed as a cis-regulatory element and as a riboswitch candidate for his complex secondary structure.
Source: RNAcentral